RNAcentral lists this non-coding RNA (26 nucleotides) under Mus musculus (house mouse). The record is from RNAcentral. Lineage: Eukaryota; Metazoa; Chordata; Mammalia; Rodentia; Muridae.
UUUUUGGCCGAGCUUCUGAAUUAGAG